AUUGAACGCUGGCGGUAUGCUUAACACAUGCAAGUCGAACGGUAGCAGGCCUUCGGGCGCUGACGAGUGGCGGACGGGUGAGUAACGCGUAGGAAUCUGCCUCAUAGUGGGGGACAACGUGGGGAAACUCACGCUAAUACCGCAUACGCCCUACGGGGGAAAGCGGGGGAUCUUCGGACCUCGCGCUAUGAGAUGAGCCUGCGUUAGAUUAGCUAGUUGGUAGGGUAAAGGCCUACCAAGGCGACGAUCUAUAGCUGGUCUGAGAGGACGAUCAGCCACACUGGGACUGAGACACGGCCCAGACUCCUACGGGAGGCAGCAGUGGGGAAUAUUGGACAAUGGGCGCAAGCCUGAUCCAGCAAUACCGCGUCGUGUGAAGAAGGCCUUAGGGUUGUAAAGCACUUUCAAUUGGGAGGAAAACCUGUCGGUCAAUACCCGGCAGCUUGACAUUACCUUAGUAAGAAGCACCGGCUAACUCCGUAGCCAGCAGCCGCGGUAAU
RNAcentral lists this ribosomal RNA (500 nucleotides) under uncultured bacterium. Its description in RNAcentral is "bacterial SSU rRNA". It matches the Rfam family "Bacterial small subunit ribosomal RNA", at positions 30 to 524 of the family's 1533-position model. The record is from RNAcentral.